GGCCUACGGGACGCAGCAGUAGGGAAUCUUCCACAAUGGGCGAAAGCCUGAUGGAGCAACGCCGCGUGGGUGAAGAAGGUCUUCGGAUCGUAAAACCCUGUUGUUAGAGAAGAAAGUGCGUGAGAGUAACUGUUCACGUUUCGACGGUAUCUAACCAGAAAGCCACGGCUAACUACGUGCCAGCAGCCGCGGUAAUACGUAGGUGGCAAGCGUUAUCCGGAUUUAUUGGGCGUAAAGAGAACGCAGGCGGACUUUUAAGUCUGAUUGGAAAGCCUUCGGCUUAACCGGUGUAGUGCAUUGGAAAA
RNAcentral lists this ribosomal RNA (305 nucleotides) under uncultured bacterium. Its description in RNAcentral is "bacterial SSU rRNA". It matches the Rfam family "Bacterial small subunit ribosomal RNA", at positions 335 to 633 of the family's 1533-position model. The record is from RNAcentral.